AAUAACAGGUUACUGCUACCCCAGCAAGAUUCUACACACACGCUCAGUGGGUUGGGUCAGUCAGAGACUAGCGGCAUGAGGGUCUUGUGUACACUCACACAAAACAUUCGGCGUAUGGUGGCUCCGUUCUUUGGAUACAGUGCUGAUGUGGUAGGAGGGACAUGAAACAAAUACCUUAUUUACAACGUAGUCAACUAGUAUGGAUUAAGUGACACCGUGUCAAGGGGAUUAACUGACACCGUGUAAGGAGGAUUAACGGUCUCGCUGUAUGGAAUAGCUGGCACCAUAUGUGAAUUAUUCAAUAUCGUGUAUGGAUUAACAACCUUCUGUAUGGAUUAACAACCUCCUGUAUGGAUUAACAUACACCCUGUAUGGAUUAACAUACACCCUGUAUGGAUUAACUACCUCCUGUAUGGAUUAACGAGCCCCGUGGCGGCCAUGAUGAUGUCAGCACUGGAGCAGACGCCGGAGAUGUACGACUGGUGCUACGGCUCGACAUGGCGCACCGCCUACAGUCAGCUGAUCAAGUCCAGGUCCACGGCCGAGCUCAACCUGAGUGUAGACACCAAC
This is a long non-coding RNA of Physella acuta, 570 nucleotides long. RefSeq lists it as uncharacterized. Lineage: Eukaryota; Metazoa; Mollusca; Gastropoda; Physidae. The record is from RefSeq and is a predicted model, not a curated record.